UCUCAUUCAUACUGAAUCACAGGAAAUGUUCUUCUGUCUCUGAGAAAAUCUGCCAACACUCCACAAGAGUCUUCCAGACAUCAUGUCCCUCCUUUAUAUUUCCAUCUUAUGGGUCUGUGCCUGUGUGGACAGUGCAGAACCUCUGGUUACUGUAUCAGCUCCAGUGGGUUCCACAGUCAUCCUGCCGUGUAACCUGACUGAAGACUUCAAACCAAC
This is a long non-coding RNA of Tachysurus vachellii, 216 nucleotides long. RefSeq lists it as uncharacterized. NCBI's taxonomy places the organism in Eukaryota, Metazoa, Chordata, Actinopteri, Siluriformes, Bagridae. The record is from RefSeq and is a predicted model, not a curated record. The transcript has 3 exons.